GAUGAACGCUGGCGGCGUGCCUAAUACAUGCAAGUCGAGCGAACAGACGAGGAGCUUGCUCCUCUGACGUUAGCGGCGGACGGGUGAGUAACACGUGGAUAACCUACCUAUAAGACUGGGAUAACUUCGGGAAACCGGAGCUAAUACCGGAUAAUAUAUUGAACCGCAUGGUUCAAUAGUGAAAGACGGUUUUGCUGUCACUUAUAGAUGGAUCCGCGCCGCAUUAACUAGUUGGUAAGGUAACGGCUUACCAAGGCAACGAUGCGUAGCCGACCUGAGAGGGUGAUCGGCCACACUGGAACUGAGACACGGUCCAGACUCCUACGGGAGGCAGCAGUAGGGAAUCUUCCGCAAUGGGCGAAAGCCUGACGGAGCAACGCCGCGUGGGUGAUGAAGGUCUUCGGAUCGUAAAACUCUGUUAUUAGGGAAGAACAAAUGUGUAAGUAACUAUGCACGUCUUGACGGUACCUAAUCAGAAAGCCACGGCUAACUACGUG
This 497-nucleotide ribosomal RNA is filed under the name uncultured bacterium. Its description in RNAcentral is "partial 16S ribosomal RNA". It matches the Rfam family "Bacterial small subunit ribosomal RNA", at positions 28 to 507 of the family's 1533-position model. The record is from RNAcentral.